This 107-nucleotide small nuclear RNA is filed under the name Castor canadensis (American beaver). The record is from RNAcentral. Lineage: Eukaryota; Metazoa; Chordata; Mammalia; Rodentia; Castoridae.
GUGCUUGAUUCAGCUACACAUAUAUUAAAAUUGGAAUGAUCCAGAGAAGAUUAGCAUGGCCCCUGCACAAGGAUGACACACAAAUUCAUGAAGUGUUCCAUAUUUUA